GAAGUCUGAUAUGUUCCUUAACUUGGCUUUAACAUCUAGGAGGCACCCCUGUCUAUUUUGUUUUCAUUUUCAGCAUAACAGCUUUCCUCUACUUUUUCUACAAGACUUGGGCCACUGAUCCAGGCUUCACUAAGGCUUCUGAAGAAGAAAAGAAAAUGAAUAUCAUCACUCUCGCAGAGACCGGCUCUCUGGACUUCAGAACAUUUUGUACAUCAUGUCUUAUCAGGAAGCCAUUAAGGUCACUCCAUUGCCAUGUGUGUAACUCCUGUGUGGCUCGAUACGAUCAACACUGCCUGUGGACUGGACGGUGCAUUGGUGAGAGAGUCAAGUUUUCAUAGGCCAUUUUGAAGUUUAGCUAUGUUUAGUUAUGGGUGUGACUCAGAAAAAAUGGAAAGACAUUUUAAGGGGUCCAUUCUGUAGCUCUUCCUUGCCAGAGAAUUAUCUCUGUUGUUUUAGACUUUGGGAAAA
This is a non-coding RNA of Vicugna pacos (alpaca), 468 nucleotides long. Lineage: Eukaryota; Metazoa; Chordata; Mammalia; Artiodactyla; Camelidae. The record is from RefSeq and is a predicted model, not a curated record.